UGCAUAGAGAUCGCGAUCUCUUCACGAGGCCCCGGCCGAAGCAUCGCCUCCAAUGAUCCACUCGUGGAAGCUCGGUG
Aurantimonas sp. 22II-16-19i is the source of this 77-nucleotide regulatory RNA element. It matches the Rfam family "chrB-a RNA". The record is from Rfam. Lineage: Bacteria; Pseudomonadati; Pseudomonadota; Alphaproteobacteria; Hyphomicrobiales; Aurantimonadaceae.